Molecule: ribosomal RNA, 1131 nt
Filed under: uncultured bacterium
Lineage: Bacteria
Description: bacterial SSU rRNA
Rfam family: Bacterial small subunit ribosomal RNA
Source: RNAcentral
UUUUGGGAGGGGCCUGCGUCCCAUCAGAUAGUUGGUAAGGUAACGGCUUACCAAGGCGAUGACGGGUAGGGGACCUGAGAGGGUGAUCCCCCACAAUGGAACUGAAACACGGUCCAUACACAUACGGGUGGCAGCAGUAGGGAAUAUUGCUUAAUGGGCGAAAGCUUGAAGCAGCAACGCCGCGUGUGCGAUGAAGGCCUUCGGGUCGUAAAGCACUUUUUGCUGGGAAGAGGAAGGACGGUACCAGCAGAAUAAGCCUCGGCUAACUACGUGCCAGCAGCCGCGGUAAAACGUAGGAGGCGAGCGUUAUCCGGAUUUACUGGGUGUAAAGCGCGUGCAGGCGGUUUACUAAGUUAGGUGUGAAAGCUCCUGGCUCAACUGGGAGAGGUCGCUUAAGACUGGUAGACUUGAGAGCAGUAGGGGAAGGUGGAAUUCCGGGUGUAGUGGUGAAAUGCGUAGAUAUCCGGAGGAACACCAGUGGCGAAGGCGGCCUUCUGGACUGCAUCUGACGCUCAGACGCGAAAGCUAGGGUAGCAAACGGGAUUAGAGACCCCGGUAGUCCUAGCCGUAAACGAUGUGAACUUGGCGCCGGGCGGGUAAAACCGAUCGGUGCCGAAGCAAACGCGAUAAGUUCACCACCUGGGGACUACGGCCGCAAGGUUAAAACUCAAAGGAAUUGACGGGGGCCCGCACAAGCAGCGGAGCGUGUGGUUUAAUUCGAUGCUACACGAAGAACCUUACCAGGGCUUGACAUGGAAGUGGUAGUGAAGCGAAAGCGGAACGACCCUUCGGGGAGCUUUCACAGGUGCUGCAUGGCUGUCGUCAGCUCGUGUCGUGAGAUGUUCGGUUAAGUCCGCUAACGAGCGCAACCCUCGCCGCGUGUUAUACGUGUCACGCGGGACUGCCAGUCUUAAGCUGGAGGAAGGUGGGGAUGACGUCAAGUCAGCAUGGCCUUUAUGUCCUGGGCUACACACACGCUACAAUGGCCAGUACAAUAGGUAGCGAAGUCGCGAGGCGAAGCCAAUCCUCAAAGCUGGUCUCAGUUCAGAUUGCAGGCUGCAACCCGCUUGCAUGAAGAUGGAGUUGCAUAGUAACCGCAGGUCAGCUAUACUGCGGUAAAACGUCCGGGCU